Tympanuchus pallidicinctus (lesser prairie-chicken) is the source of this 5122-nucleotide long non-coding RNA. RefSeq lists it as uncharacterized. The transcript is spliced from 2 exons. The record is from RefSeq and is a predicted model, not a curated record. NCBI's taxonomy places the organism in Eukaryota, Metazoa, Chordata, Aves, Galliformes, Phasianidae.
UGAUCAUGGGAUAAUGGUAAAUUUCUGUCAUGGGUUCAACAGUUUCUGCAUAGUGCAUUUAUUUUAAUGCUUCUGAUUUAGCUGAGUACAGCUGAUCGUAUUUAUGAAUCACUUCAACUGUUCUGUUCUUAAGUUCUACUUGAUUUUUUUCUGCGUGAAUAGUAGGAUCAUUUCAAACCCCUUCUUACUGCUGUAAUGGUGUUCUAAAACCAGGUAUAUAUGCAAAGUCUCUGAGUACUGUGAAAGAUGUCUAGAGGAGGUGUUGAUUCCUGUAGAAUGACUUCUGACCAAGUAUUUGCUUUCAUGAGUCCCAUAGCAAUUCAGACCAGAAACUGAAGAUCAUUUACUCUAGUUACUUUUCUGAGACUUGAUUUUAUGGUACUGUGAUGGCUCAUAAGGAGAAUGAAAUUGGAAAAGCUUAUUGUAUGGGACCAGACAGUUUAAGUAUGCCACACCUCUCAUUUACUUUCCUUGCAGAAAGGUAGCACAAAGAUAUCAAAAAGAGGGUGCAUGCAUUUAGUCCAACUUCUAGUAUCGGGCUCUCUAAAACUGAAGAUGUAUAGCCAUGAAUGAUCUAAUAAUGAUUGAAUCAAAAACUGAUAUUUUUAUGCCCAGAAUAAUUUGAAGUUUGUUACAUAAUGCUCAGAUUAUACUGUUUAGCAGUAUUUGUCUUUUACUAUUAGACAGGACAUUUUGUUAAUGCAAAUGAUUCUGACUUGGGACUAAGCGUUGUAUCUUGACAGUGAGCUCAGCAAAGAAAAUAGUGACAAUUCUUCAGAUACUCAAUUUUUGAGGUUCAGGUGCACCACAUUUCCAUGUUUGUUCUGCUGCUACUGCUGCCAGAUGUUCUGGAGUAACCGAAGGCAGUAAAAUGGCAGAGAUGUAAGCAGCACUGAAUAGCGUUGCUCUUUCCCACUGCUGUGAGAAUAAAAGAUGAUAACAACUGGAAGGGGCCUACAAGAAUCUAGUCCAGCUACCUGACCACUUCAGGGCUAACCAGAGUGUGCUGAGCUUCUCCUCAUAGAACAUGCCUUCCAGGCCUUUCACUAGCUUUGGUGCCCUCCCCUGGAUGCAUUCAAGUAUCUUAACAUCCCUUUUAUAUUGUGGAGUCCCAGACUGCACUCAGUAUUUGAGGUGAUGCUGCACCAACGGUGAAUGCGGUGGGAGACUGCCUUUUCUUUUGGCUGGCUGGUUAUGAGCACACCCCGAAAUGCACUUUGCCUUCUGGACUACCAGAUGUAUGUACUUGUUAAUAAUUGUUCCAACGUGUAAGUAAAUGUGUGAAUUGAAGAUAAUUAACUGGUCUGCACUGGAUUACUUUCCUUCAGUAUCUUUAGGACUUGAGGCAUCUGACAUCUGUCUUGCAACAGUUUUUCCUAACUAAAGAUUUUUAAAGAUUUAUUAGGGCAUAGAUAGAUCUUUUCUCUAGAAUUUUGGAAGUCUGAAGGAUUUGCAUCAAGUUAAGAUACACAAAAUAAUUUUUCUAUGCAUAUCUUCCUGGGAUUUUCAGGAAAGUGGUCUGGACAAGUAUGGGGCUGAAGUCAAAUUGAAAAGAGGGAGAAGAAGUGGAAAUCAAAUAUUAAGGAAUGUUAUUUUGGUAUUUUUUGUAAAGAUUUUAAUCUGAAAACGUCAAAGAAAAAAAAAAAAUUGAAGAUGCUCUUGUUAAGUUUCAUAUUAAUUGCUGGAGUAUGUUUGGGUUUUGAGAGGUGUCUGCUCCUACAGAGAAGCAUAGAAUGGUUUGGGUUGGAAGGGUCCUUAACUCUCACCCAGUCCCAGCCUUCUGCUGUGACAGUGCUGCCACCCAGCAGCUCGUGCUGCCCAGGGCCUCAUCCAGCCUGGCCCUGAGCGCCUCCAGGGAGGGCUGUCCACAAGGGCUGAUUAGGAGGUGAGUUUACCCUUUAAUACCACAAGUUAGAGUUUUUGAGCAGUGUCACUAAAGGAAUGGAAGAUUCUGCUUUGUAGCUGGCCUAAGGCUUUAUAGCUUACUUAAAUAAUGGUACUGUAGAUCAGGCUGAAUUCUUGGUUUUCCUUAUUUUCUGAGGCAAGCAACACACACUUUGAAACAAUUCUUUUCCAAUUCAGAUUCAGUUUAUUGAAUUCCUGCAGAAUGAGGACAUACUUGCUGUCUUUCAUUGUAGAGAAACUUAUGUUUUUCCUUGUAAAUGGUAGAUCUGCCAGCAGGAAGGAGUGUCUUAGUUUCAUUGAAAAUAUCUUCUAAUAGAAUAUUCUAAUCGAAUGUAUAUCUGUCCUACUUUAUAAAUUCAAGACUGGAAAAUGUUGUGUGGAAAAUACUUUGUUAAACUAUCUGGGUUGGAUUUAAGUAGACUAGAGUGCUUUUGUUCUGUAUGCCCUGUUAAGGGAAACAAAAGCAAUUGGAGUAAUCCUACUAAGAGCUGAGCGUUUGAAUGUGAUGUAGACUGAAGCUGGAGAAUGCAAGCUCUUGAAAGUAACUACUGCUUACUUUGUGGGCACAGCUUCAUCUUGACAGAGUAGAUAAUAUCUUAAUGCCUUAAUUGAGUUUUUCAGAACUUGAGAUAUAUUCCUCAGCUCAUAAAUUCUGUUAUCAUGCACUUUAAUAGGAGCUUAGUAACCUCAUUAUUUUCCAUACAUUUGGGCUCUAAAAAGCUGCAUGAUUAGAGAGUUCUUCUAAAACUUGCAACAAGUGGAUCUGUUGAAUGAAAUUGCUGGCAGAGGUAGCAACACUGCACUCUUCAGUGCAGCUGCUUCUGGGCUCAUUUUUCAUUCUGGCUUAGCUAUGGUCUGCUUCUGUGGGCUGAAGAUCUCUUUGCAGCUCAAGCAUCAGAUGUGCUCCUAACAUUGUUCAGUUUGGUCCAAAACUUAUCUGGUUCAUAUUUUGAGAUUGCUGUGUAAUGAGAGCCAAACUGUGAAAAGUAGGAGUUGUUUGUAGGAAGGCUGUUUUCAAAAGUGCGCUCCAUUACGUGCUGAAGUACUGAAGUGAGAUUUGCGUGUAGUAUUGCUCUGAGUUUUGAAACUGGCUUGAGUGUUGGAAGUAGGUCGCAUGCAAGUCCAUGAGAUGCUGUAUUACCUUUGUACCAUAGUCUGAUUUAAUCCCUAGAAUGAUUUAGUCACUCAUGUUGACUGUGAAAUAAAACUAGAUGAUUUUGCAGGUCCCUUCCAAGUCAAAUGGAGAAUGGGAAGAUUGCUUUCUGGGAUCUAACCUACUGAAGAAUGGCUUUGAAAACAGUGGGCAGAAUCAUAGAGAAUAAGUUUUACUCUGUGGAGUGUUGGAAGUGGAAUUGCUAAGGCAGUGAUUGAGUUUUCCCAACUGGAAUUUCAGAGUUGGAGCAAAACGGAGCAGUAGGUUCAAGAGUUACACGUGUAGGGCUUCAGAUUGUUCAGAUUUUUAUUUCAUGGAAAUAUAGCUCUAGCUGAGUGGAAGUGCUGGAAUAGCAUGGAAGACAGACCGAAAAAUUAGAUCAGUUUCAGCGUGUUUUCCCCCUCCUGUACUGUCAUACUGUAAAAGUGCCUGAAGUUGUUAUUAAAGACUGACAUUCACAGAGUGUAUCUUAAUGUCUUGACCUCUAGAUGACAAGAACAGGUUGUGCUUUGGACACAAGGAUGGUAGCAUGGACUUAGCUAGAAUUUACUAGCUACACUGAGUGUUGUUGUUUUUAGUCUUUGGUGAUGUUGCAUUCUUUGUUGUUGUUUAAAUAAUUCAGUAUACUCGUUUUUGCCAAGAUUUGAAGCUUUUCUCUACUUUUGUGGCCCAGCAUAGAAAGUGAAUGGGAUUGUAAGUCAGUCUUUGGGGAAUAAGGCUUCAGAACCUUUAUUCUCAAAAGAGCCUCGGCUAAGCAGCUCUUUGUCACAACUUUAUCAAAGAAAGGUUUUAUAAAGGAUAUCCUUCAGAGGAGUACAGGUGACUCUGGAAACUUUCUCCAUUAAGAAAAGCUUCAAGCGUGCCUCUGCUUCAAAGUAUACAUUUUCCAGGGAUAUAGGAUUGCCUUGAGCAAAAGAUAAUCUUGCCAGCCCCAUUUCAAAGAGGCGCUGUAUCAAUAGAUUCCUUUGAAACUCAGCUGCAUUUAUCUGCUUAGUAGACUUCCAUCUGUGAAUCCUGUGAUCUAUUAAACUCUCCCUCCUCACAAAGUUAAAAAUAAUAAUAAUAAAAAAUCUGGCAAAAAUGACAACCAGGGGAAUGGAAACAGUCUGGUACUUGUGAUUCUUUUUUUGUUGCUGCUGUUUGAGGAGACCAUGGUUCUUAAGCUCCAGAAAAAGGGGCUGGAGAAUUUCCCUAUUGUGUUCAGCUGGGUGGAACAUUGAGUAGGUCUAAGUAAAUGGGUACUUGAGUUAGCACCAGAGAAGAGCAACUAGAACUCCUAGGGAAGAAGAGGUAAUGAAGGUUUAGUUCUUUUUUGUUUGAGAUCCUCUGAAAAUCAGCAGGUUAAUGGUUGGCUUGUUACUUAAUCAAUUAGUUGCUUUUGAAAAGUAUCUGAGAGCAGUGUGAGUAACCUCUGAAGUCAGAUGGUUGUUCUUAAGUGGGAACCAAAAGGAAGCAGACUUGAGCUUUUGAGUGCUCCUCUUUUCCUGCUCUUAAUUUUUUCAUAACUUUCAUUCUCCCCUGACACUGAGCUUUCUAGCACGUGCUUUUUCUUUGUAUCUCUGAAGGCCAUUGGGCUGUUGGAUGCUUGCUGCGUAUCUUUGCUUCGUGGGAAUAAAAACUGAGUGUGGCCCCUGAUUCUUUUUUGAGAAAGUCUUUUCUUUUACUGUUCCAAGUACUCUUUUAGUUGUAUUUACUUGCUUCUCCAAACCUAGUGGUCAGAGGAUUUAUAAAGCUCCACUUUCUUAUGGCACAGAUGACUUCUCACUCCUCUGUCAGCUACUGGUUAUGUAGAUGAAAUCCAGUUGCUCUUCUUCCUUGUGCAUGUUCUGGAUGUAGCAGUGCUUUGUCAUUCUUCCACAUUUAGUGCAUCUUCCAGCUGUCUGCUUUUGUCUUGUAACAUAAUCCUGCUUGAUAUCACAGCCUCAAAAGGCUGUUUGGCUCAUGGUGGCACAGAUGAGCGCGUUUGUGGGAGAAACAGAAGUCUUAAACAGAGCUUAUCUGUGCAGGAAAGAGAAGCUGAAGAGAUUUCAGUUCAAUUUAGGAUUAGGUGGGGGUAUUUUUUCA